UAGGGAGAAGUGUAAUCGGGUGCACUUGGCUUUUUGGUGGCCGAAGAGGCAAGAAAGCUUGCCCUCUCUAU
RNAcentral lists this transfer RNA (71 nucleotides) under Tridacna gigas (giant clam). RNAcentral's name for it is "tRNA-Gln". Lineage: Eukaryota; Metazoa; Mollusca; Bivalvia; Cardiida; Cardiidae. The record is from RNAcentral.